UACGUAGGCGGAAAAUUAAGUCAGUAGUGAAAUCCUGCAGCUUAACUGUAGAACUGUUAUUGAUACUGGUUUUCUUGAAUAUAGUUGAGGUAAGCGGAAUGUGUAAUGUAGCGGUGAAAUGCUUAGAUAUUACACAGAACACCGAUUGCGAAGGUAGCUUACUAAGCUAUGAUUGACGCUGAGGUACGAAAGCGUGGGGAGCGAACAGGAUUAGAUACCCUGGUAGUCC
This 229-nucleotide ribosomal RNA is filed under the name uncultured bacterium. Its description in RNAcentral is "partial 16S ribosomal RNA". It matches the Rfam family "Bacterial small subunit ribosomal RNA", at positions 568 to 796 of the family's 1533-position model. The record is from RNAcentral.